UACGUAGGGACCGAGCGUUGUCCGGAAUCAUUGGGCGUAAAGAGCUCGUAGGCGGCUUGUCGCGUCGGCUGUGAAAUCCCGUGGCUCAACUGCGGGUCUGCAGCCGAUACGGGCAGGCUAGAGUUCGGUAGGGGAGACUGGAAUUCCUGGUGUAGCGGUGAAAUGCGCAGAUAUCAGGAGGAACACCGGUGGCGAAGGCGGGUCUCUGGGCCGAUACUGACGCUGGGGAGCGAAAGCGUGGGGAGCGAACAGG
This 253-nucleotide ribosomal RNA is filed under the name uncultured bacterium. RNAcentral's name for it is "partial 16S ribosomal RNA". It matches the Rfam family "Bacterial small subunit ribosomal RNA", at positions 524 to 776 of the family's 1533-position model. The record is from RNAcentral.